RNAcentral lists this ribosomal RNA (433 nucleotides) under uncultured bacterium. RNAcentral's name for it is "partial 16S ribosomal RNA". It matches the Rfam family "Bacterial small subunit ribosomal RNA", at positions 29 to 507 of the family's 1533-position model. The record is from RNAcentral.
AACGAACGCUGGCGGCAUGCCUAACACAUGCAAGUCGAACGAGACCUUCGGGUCUAGUGGCGCACGGGUGCGUAACGCGUGGGAACCUGCCCUUAGGUUCGGAAUAACUCCCCGAAAGGGGUGCUAAUACCGGAUAAUGUCUUCGGACCAAAGAUUUAUCGCCUUUGGAUGGGCCCGCGUUGGAUUAGCUAGUUGGUAGGGUAAAAGCCGACCAAGGCGACGAUCCAUAGCUGGUCUGAGAGGAUGAUCAGCCACACUGGGACUGAGACACGGCCCAGACUCCUACGGGAGGCAGCAGUGGGGAAUAUUGGACAAUGGGCGAAAGCCUGAUCCAGCAAUGCCGCGUGAGUGAUGAAGGCCUUAGGGUUGUAAAGCUCUUUUACCCGGGAUGAUAAUGACAGUACCGGGAGAAUAAGCACCGGCUAACUCCGUG